Molecule: long non-coding RNA, 3397 nt
Filed under: Canis lupus familiaris (dog)
Lineage: Eukaryota; Metazoa; Chordata; Mammalia; Carnivora; Canidae
Description: lncRNA (ENSCAFG00030017101.1)
Source: RNAcentral
AACUUUCCACGGAGAUGUUCCCUGGACCCCAGUCUGAGCCUCACAUUAUACACAUUUGGAGUACACUUGCAUCCAGAAUCAAAGAAGAGACAAACCCAGCACACAAAUACAUGGAAAAGGAAAGAUUUCAAGAAUAUUCAGAGCUAAAGGCAAAAGGUUGCAAACGAGUGAGUCUAAAACGAAGUAAAAAUUUUCAUAUUGUGGAAUCUCUAUAACCAAUUUUGAUUGACACUAUUUUAAUUGGAGGAACAUUGGCAAAUUGUUCUAAAUGAUUUUACCUACAUCAUCAGCUUCUCCCUCCCUUUAAUGAGAAAUAAGUCAUCCUCUGUUUAUAGUUUAAACUUAGUUUAAAUUUUCCUAGAGGCUUUAAAACAGAUGGUAGCAUCUGCUUAAAGCUGAUAUGGUUAUUAAAGUACAGAAGUACCUAACCACUGAAGUUUUAAUUCAGUCAAUAUCAAUCCUUCAUGUAUCAAAAAAAAAAUGCUUGAAAGUUAUUUGUAUGCUAUGAAAAUUUAAAUAACAUAGAAGUAUAAAAAAGAAAGAUAAAAGCUGACAAUGCAAGCUUUCUUUAACAAGACCAAAAAUUUUUGACUUCAUUUGAUUCACUAAUAUAGAUACAUUUCCUCCCAAACUUCAAGAAAUUUUCUUUUCAGCGAUUUUUUUUUCUCUCCUGUUUUCUUUUUCUUUACCACAGAAUUGCCUGCCAUUGGUACUUUAUGUCGUUCUCUGACUUACUUUUAGCAAUAUGACUGAAGGUUCUGUCAAAACUAGCUGUUCACCUGUAGGUUUAUGUAUAUCCCUUAAGCUCUGCAAACUAAAGAUCCAGAGAAGAAAACCCGUUAUUCAUUAGUCCACCUUACUUUAUUAUUAGGUAUAUGUGAUAGAUUAUUUUAUGUGUUAAUUUGAUUGGGCCAUGGCAUCUAGACAUUUGGUCAAAUACAGUCUGAAGGCAUUUUUUUUGUUUGUUUGUUUUUGUUUUUUGUUUGUUUUUUGUUUUGUUUUGUUUUUUUAACAUGAGAUUGGCAUUUAAAUCAACCAACUUUCAGUAAACCCUCCAUAAUGUGAAUAGGCCUUAUCCAAUCAGUUGAAAGCCUUAACAGAGAACAGAUUGAGAUCCCCUAAGGAAGAGAGAAUUCUGCUUCCAGAUUGCCCUUGGAAUCAAGCUACAUCAACUUUUCCUUGCAUCACUAGCCUGCCAGCCCACCUGGCAGAUUUUGGACUAGUUAGCCUUUACAAUCAUGUUAGCCAAUUCCUUAAAAUAAAUUUUUCUCUCUGUAUGUAUACAUACCCUGUUGGUUCUGUUUCUCUGGAGAAGUCUGAAUAAUACAGGACAGCUAGAGUCAUACUGCCAAUUUAAAGACCAAAUCUGGAGAUGUAGGAAAUUUUUCUAAAGAAGAGUAUGUGUCAGUGUCACAGUUUAAACUUAGGCCUCUUUUCAGCAUUGUCUCUGGAGGAUAGUUAUUCAGAUAAUACUACAUUUGAAGAGAAUUUAGUUCCUUUCCUCCUGGCUUCUAAGUUAGUUUUAUUUUAUGGUUUCUGUAGUUAACGUGAGUGAAUUGCAAUGCCCUAUCAAAAGCCCUGUUUAUACAGGAUCAGAAAUAGCUAGAGUAAAUAUCCCUUCACUUAUUUAAGUGGUUCAGGGUAAAAGAAUUGAGUCAUUGCGUUUCCAUGCUGUUUUCCCAUUCACUUUACUAAAAGUGGAAAGUUGGAGGCCCUGUAAAGAACCAGGCCUCAGAGCUAAGGAAAGUGCAUUCAAUUAUACUGUAAGUUGAGUAUCCCAAAGAGUAAACUAAUUUACUUUCCCUUAUUUUAGAUACACCUCCCUAGUGUCUAUAAUCCUUUACUUUUUAUUAAUACUUUACUAAAUUAUCAAAAGAUUCUAGAUAUCUAGUACUGUUUAAAGGCAACUCAAAGCUUGAAGCUAUAAAAAGUUUAAAGUCUUAAAAAAUUAAAAUUUUGAUUUAUUCUGAUUUUUAAAGUACAUGGUUGUUUUUGUACAAUAAUGGAAAAAUUAAAUUCGCAUACAACAGUGGAAUAUUUUGGAGAAAAAUGUGAUUGCUGAACCAUCCUUUUUGCCUGACAACAAAAUCUUCCCGUUCCUCACAACUUCUACCUAGACUCAACUUCACAUGGCACUAAAAUUAAAAUUGCUUUUUCUGGGUAUUUCUAAGAACUUACUAAACAUGUGGUUUCCUAAGCUCAUGCUGCUUUUUUUUUUUUUCCUCUCUUUUUAAAAGAUUUUAUCUAUUCAUUCAUGAGAGACACAGAGAGAGAGGCAGAGACACAGGCAGAGAGAGAAGCAGGCUCCAUGCAGGGAGCCCGAUGUGGGACUCAAUGCCAGGACCAGGAUCACUCCCUGAACCAAAGGCAGACGCUCAACCACUGAGCCACCGAGGUGUCCCCUAAGCUCAAACUGCUUGAUGCCUUUACCCCAAACAUGUAUCUCCCACAACCUGAUUACCACCUCUCAAGCAUGUUUUAUAAAUGAAAGAGCCACAAAGAGAUGGUUCUCUGCUGGACUCUAGAACCAUAGUACACACACUUGUUUUCAAGUCGAAGGAUAUUUCUUCACAGGAUGUUGAGAGAAUGGUAUCCAUGUACUCGCUAACUCUUGCUGGUGAGUGACAGCCUAAUUCUUUCAUAUGAAACUUGUCGAUGGUAUUCAUAGGCAACACGCAGUGACUGCUCCUAUGAAGCGGAGUCUAUGCCAUUGUAUGGAUGGCUGAAGGAAUUGAACGGGCCCCCAUGAUAAUUUGUUCAGAAAAGCCAGGAAUGAGAUGGGUACAUUGUCAGUGGGUGAUUAAUGCUUAUUGAGAGGACAGGUUAGUGAAAAUUAACAGUUCUUGUGGUUAGGUGGCUGGAUUAUAUAGACUACAGGUUACCAUUAGCAGAUACAGAGUUCACAGAACCAAGGGCCAAAAAGCUCAAAGUUAGAUGGUCAUUUUUCAGCUAGGUGACUGUAGAGUUCAUGAUCACUGAUGCCUGAAAAUCUGAAAACUGGAGAGGUACAGAAUGAGGAUUGUUAAUAAUUCAUCUAGUUAAUCAAAUGGGAGAAGGGAGGGGACAAACCACUAUUUGCUAUCUUUCUUUAUAUUUCUUUUAGCCAUUCCAGUGAGCCAUCUCAUCGUGGUUUUGAUUUGCAUUUUCUUUAAGACCAGUGAUGUUAAAUCUUUUUAUGUACUUUUUGGUCUUUUGUCUAUCUUCUUUGGGAAAUGUCUAUUCAAGUUUUUUGUACAUUUUUAAUUUGGGUUGUCAUUUUGUUGAUAAGAUAUAAUACUUUAUAACUUCUUUAUGCUAUAUUUUUACCAGAUACAUAGUUUAUAAGUAUUUUACCAUUCUCUGGGUUCUUUCCUGUUUCUUGAUAAUAAUCUUUGAUGCACAAAAAUUGUAAUUUUUU